CCGGCGCCCGUUGACCCAGCCUCGCUUGGCCUCUCCCGUGCUAGAUCGCAAGGCCCAGCGGGCCACCUCACCCAGCCGCCCUGCUAGGCCUCUCCAUCAGCUUGGGCUUGACCCAAUUGUGCUUCUUCGGGUUGGUUCCGUUCACGUCACGUUUGUGAGGAUUCAUUCGACUUCGUCCGUUUGUCUUCUUCAUGGACCAGUUCUUCUUCCUUGUGGGAUCUCAGUUGCAGGUGCCGAUGAUACCAGUGCAGGUGACGCAACCCAGCUCAGUUGGGAGCUCGAUGAAGAUCAUGUUCGUUGUGUUGUUUCGUUUCCUUUCGAUCAGUAGUGGAGCCCUGUCGGGGCGAUUGGGGAUCUAGCAUUAGGGGUGGUCUUCUUUUAUUUUGGUUCCGUAGUCGGACCUUGAUUGUAUUCUGGAUGAUGUAAUGCUAUAUUUAUGUAUUGUGUGAAGUGGCGAUUGUAAGCCAACUCUGUAUCCC
Molecule: ribosomal RNA, 479 nt
Filed under: Triticum aestivum (bread wheat)
Lineage: Eukaryota; Viridiplantae; Streptophyta; Magnoliopsida; Poales; Poaceae
Description: partial small subunit ribosomal RNA
Source: RNAcentral